Cannabis sativa is the source of this 822-nucleotide long non-coding RNA. RefSeq lists it as uncharacterized. The record is from RefSeq and is a predicted model, not a curated record. Lineage: Eukaryota; Viridiplantae; Streptophyta; Magnoliopsida; Rosales; Cannabaceae. The transcript is spliced from 3 exons.
UUAUAAGCAGUGUUUUGGGAUAAACACUUAUUAGUUUAUCGUUAUUGUGACAUAGGGCCGAGAUCAUCGGGAAUAGUUCUCCACUUGGGUUGGCCGAAUUGUAUGAACCUGGAUUAAAGGUGAUGCAAUUUUCCUAGCGACGUACUGGGCGUAAGUACGGGCGUCAGUGAUAUAUGAUGAGUACCGAGUGUAGGUACGGGCUCACCUGAUUAGGUGGUGUGAUUUUCCUGGCAACGUACUGGGCGUAAGUACGGGCGUCAGUGAUAUGAUAAGUAUCGGGCGUAGGUACGAGCUCGUCUAAUUAGACGAUGCGAUAUAUUGGUGCCAGAUUGUGGCACGGGCUCACCUGAUUAGGUGAUGCAAUUAUAUGAUAUAUGAGUGCAGGUGUUUGGCAUAGGCUCACCUGAUUAGGUGAUGCAGUUAUGCGACAUAUGGGUGCCAGGCUAUGGCACGGGCUUGCCUGAUUAGGCGGUACAAUACAAGAUCGUCAGAUUAAAGCAUCGACUUGCCUGAUUAGGCAACAUGAUGUCAUGAAGAUGGUUGCUUUAUGAGGUAAAGGCAAAGAAAAGCUAGAUCAACCAUGAGGUGGCAGUCUUCUCCAGCAAUGUACAUAUUGACCUCACUGGCCUGCGUGCCGAGUUGCCAGGAGUUGUUUUGGACUGGCUGUAUCUGCUGUGUAUUUUGAUUUUUUGUUUAAAUGGUUGUCGUAUAUAUUUCUUUAGCAAAACUUUUUAUAACAGGGAUUCCCGGAACACACUUUUUAUGCCGUUAUAAUGUCCGUUUUUAGUGUUUUAUUUUAGUGAAGUUUUUAAUAUUAUCACA